RNAcentral lists this ribosomal RNA (361 nucleotides) under Bacillus velezensis. Its description in RNAcentral is "bacterial SSU rRNA". It matches the Rfam family "Bacterial small subunit ribosomal RNA", at positions 1 to 352 of the family's 1533-position model. The record is from RNAcentral. Lineage: Bacteria; Bacillati; Bacillota; Bacilli; Caryophanales; Bacillaceae.
UUAUCGGAGAGUUUGAUCCUGGCUCAGGACGAACGCUGGCGGCGUGCCUAAUACAUGCAAGUCGAGCGGACAGAUGGGAGCUUGCUCCCUGAUGUUAGCGGCGGACGGGUGAGUAACACGUGGGUAACCUGCCUGUAAGACUGGGAUAACUCCGGGAAACCGGGGCUAAUACCGGAUGCUUGUUUGAACCGCAUGGUUCAGACAUAAAAGGUGGCUUCGGCUACCACUUGCAGAUGGACCCGCGGCGCAUUAGCUAGUUGGUGAGGUAACGGCUCACCAAGGCAACGAUGCGUAGCCGACCUGAGAGGGUGAUCGGCCACACUGGGACUGAGACACGGCCCAGACUCCUACGGGAGGCAGC